UACGUAGGGUCCGAGCGUUUGUCCGGAAUUACUGGGCGUAAAGAGCUCGUAGGUGGUUUGUCGCGUUGUUCGUGAAAACUCACAGCUCAACUGUGGGCGUGCGGGCGAUACGGGCAGACUAGAGUACUGCAGGGGAGACUGGAAUUCCUGGUGUAGCGGUGAAAUGCGCAGAUAUCAGGAGGAACACCGGUGGCGAAGGCGGUUCUCUGGGCAUUACCUGACGCUGAGGAGCGAAAGUGUGGGGAGCGAACGGG
Molecule: ribosomal RNA, 254 nt
Filed under: uncultured bacterium
Lineage: Bacteria
Description: partial 16S ribosomal RNA
Rfam family: Bacterial small subunit ribosomal RNA
Source: RNAcentral